CGUAACACGUGGGUAAUCAACCCUUUGGUCUGGACAACCUCGGGAAACCGGGCUAAUACCGGAUGAGUCAUCAGAGUCCUCGGGCUUUGAUGGGAAAGACCCGCAAGGGUCGCAGGACGAGCUCGCGGCCCAUCAGCUUGAUGGUGAGGUAAAAGCUCACCAUGGCUUAGACGGGUAGCUGGUCUGAGAGGAUGAUCAGCCACACUGGAACUGAGACACGGUCCAG
This 226-nucleotide ribosomal RNA is filed under the name uncultured bacterium. RNAcentral's name for it is "partial 16S ribosomal RNA". It matches the Rfam family "Bacterial small subunit ribosomal RNA", at positions 109 to 334 of the family's 1533-position model. The record is from RNAcentral.